RNAcentral lists this unclassified non-coding RNA (213 nucleotides) under plant metagenome. RNAcentral describes it as "partial contains small subunit ribosomal RNA, internal transcribed spacer 1, and 5.8S ribosomal RNA". The record is from RNAcentral.
UUUCCGUAGGUGAACCUACGGAAGGAUCAUUCAUAAUAAGUGUUUUAUGGCACUUUUUUAAAUCCAUAUCCACCUUGUGUGCAAUGUCAGGGUUGAUUUUUCUCUCGAGAGGAUCAACCCCAAACAUCAACUAUAUCUCAACUCUUUGUCUGAAAAAUAUUAUGAAUAAAACAAUUCAAAAUACAACUUUCAACAACGGAUCUCUUGGCUCUC